AUACCUUCAGGGUUCGCCCGUGAGAGGAAAGCAGGUCAGAGGGAAGUAACAGGAAGUGGAGAAGACAAUAAAAAUUCUCCUAGAAGUAACAGUCAAUCCUCAGCUCUGGACCAGCGUUCCAGUGGAAGAAUGUGGGACUAGGUUACUAGAAUGUAGAAGUUUUUCAAAGAAGUCAGAAAUUUGGGUUUUAUAAGAAAUUUCCCAAUUUUAAUACAUUGUGUGGCCCAUCAAUUUGCAACCUCUGCCUUAAAUGGAAACAUGCUUAUAUGCCAACAUUGGUCUAUUUUUGAGUAAAAAGAAGAGAAAAGCAUAACUACAUGAAAAUACAUGUUAAGAGUAGCAAAAGUUUUUCCAUAAUCUUAAGUCCAUUUAAGAUACUAAACAGAGAAAGCAGAACCUCAGCAAUUACACAAGAUGUCCAUAAUAAGCUUUAUUAUUAUAGCUUGAAUAUGACAUUCAUAGGAUUAUGUAUAUUUGUUUAUGGUUUCAGGCUUAUAGACAACUUUGUAAUACUUAAAAAAUUAAAAAUUGUAUGUAAUCAUGAAAGGCUUUGAAUAAAUAGCCAGAACUUACACUUCAACAAGUUUAUUUAUAAAUUCUAGAAAAUCCAACAGUGGUAGAGUGUUUUUAUGUUCACCCAAAUAGUGAUUAACCUAAGUAUAACUUAUCAAAACCACAAAACCUUUGUUUGGACAUCCUCAUUAAAAUGAAGCAAUUCAAGGUAGAGUUGCCCUUAUCAAGCAAGAUUGAAACAAAACAACACAAGACUGUCCUAGAAAGAAUUACUAACUUUGAUUCUUACUUUAAAUUAAGAAAGUAUUUCAGGGGACCGGCUCAGCGGCACAGCAGUUAAGUUUGCACGUUCCGCUUCGGCAGCCCAGGGUUCGCCAGUUCAGAUCCCGGGUGUGGGCCUACGUACUACUUGGCAAGCCAUGCUGUGGUAGGCAUCCCACAUAUAAAGUAGAGGAAGAUGGGCACGGAUGUUAGCUCAGGGCCAGUCUUCCUCAGCAAAAAGAGGAGGAUUGGCAGCAGAUGUUAGCUCAGGGCUAAACUUCCCCCCCAAAAAAAAAAAAUUGAGUAUUUCCCUGAGGCAACAUAUUCCUUGCUUCAAAUAGCAUGCUUUGGACUCAUUCUUGCACUGAAGUUAUUUCCCUCACCUGGCUCUACGAAACCGGAGCCCAAACAAAUAUUCAACUGAACAAUAUGGACUCCAACACCGCCAAGAUACCGAUGAAACAGAAACACACACAAAAUUAAGACAAUCUUCAACAACAAACUAAAUAUUUAAAAAGUCAUAAACUUCAGAUGACUCAUGGAAAGAAACUUACUAUUUUCUUAUAAAUUUUGACUCUUUUAACAAAGUCAAGCUUACAGCAGGUUAACCAGCAUUGAAUACACAACCAUCCCCAUGUCUGCUAUUGCCCUGUUUUGUUCCUAUAAAAGUGAGCCCCCACAGACAACUUGGUUACCAAAAAAUGCUGCUUUUCCUCAGAAAUCUUUAAAAUAUCUUUUAGGAAGUACAAUCUAUGUGCUCUGGGUGCUUUCAGAACUGAAUUAUGAGAAACGCCUUCCUGCCCCAAGGUGCCGUGAAAAAUCUUAUCUGAAGCAUUUCCAAGGCAGUCAUCAAACUGACUACUUAAUUCAGUAGAUACAGCAAAUAAAUUCCUGCAGGGAAAAAACCCACAUCAGUAAAAAGGGUAGAAAAAUUAGUGCAUUUCAUUAGACAGUCCUUCAACAAGCAAGGCACUGAUUAUUUUCAGCAUCUGAAUUAUGAUCAGAAAUUGGAAUUAGUAAGGUCUAAGAGAGAAAAUUCCAGUACUUAAAAAGAAGCAUUUGCUGAGUCCCGAGGAGCAGAGCUGCAUAACCCUAGAGCUAGAGUUGUGAGAGGAGGAGAGGCCUGCACACAAGUUCUGGAGUGAAGCUCCAGGCGGACUGAAGGUCCUAUAGACAUCCCCCGUCAUCCUCUCACAGUGUGGCCACUUUAGUGUAGGAAGUGCAUGGCGUUAUCUGCAUUAAGAGGGCCUGCGAUAGCUCCCAAGAGUCCUCUGCCACUCCAGGUAACAUGGUAGAAUAUGCAAAUUUUCCUUUGAUUCCAAAAGGGCACCAGAAUUGCAAGAGAAAAUAAGAAAGAACAAGAGCGAGAGCAAGAGAGAGAAAGAGAAAGAGACAGAGAGACAGUGAAGGAGAGAGAGAGAAUACCUGAAAGGCUGCUGAGACAAGGAAAGGAAUAGAGGAAGUAAACUAACCACUGGAGAUGGAUGGAAACGUGUUAUCCAAGCACGUCUGGGAGAAAAGUUGUGAUUAAGAGAAGCUAGUAAGAAAAAAGAUUCAGCAGCUAAUGCCAACAAGAAUGAAGAGCCAGGAUGAAACACCCUCUCUGAUGAAGCAACGCUUCAUAACCUCCCUCUAAACUUAGGGCAGCCCUACAGAUAAAAGGAAAGGAGGAAAACUCUGGAUGACUUUGAGAACAUCUGAAUUAGCUAUGAGAAACCUGAACUAAGUGAGCAAUUACUCAAUUGAUCAAGCUUAUAUUUGCAUCAGUGGAAUUGGAACCCUAGGAAUGAUUAACUUCAGUUAUUUUUACAAUAGAGAAGAAUUAUAUUUCUUAUAUUCUUGAGUUUUGUGGAUUAAAAAUUUACAUUGAUGCAAUUAUUAUGAAUACUCGGUAAACAUUUUAGUCUAUUCUUUCAGUCUUUUUCCCAUUCAAAUAUUAUAUUUAAUGCUUUUGGCUUUGGGUUGGGGUGGUUCACAAAAAUCCAGCUCAUACUGUCAAGUGGUUUCACUUGCUAUAAUAAUAACAGUAACAAAGAUGAUGAAUAAUAACACAUAUAGCAGUUGCUCUAUGUCAGGAAAUUUGCUAAGCAUUUUAAAUAUACUAAUUAAUUUAAGCUUCACAGCUACCUAAUGAAGAAGCUUCCCUUAUCAUCCCAUCUACCAGAUGAAAAGACCAAGGCACAGAGAGUAAGACGUACACCAGGAAGUGGCAAGAUCAGGACCCAGAAGCCUUUUCCCCUAAAGCUGUGAGCUCAUUGAAGGCCAGGACCAUGUGUGGUUCAUCAUUGUACUCCUAAUUGUCGAUAGUAACACAGCACCUGCUACUCCGGCUCUGAUCACUGUCAUAUCUAAGCUCGUCAAGUGACAUUGCUGUACCAAGAGACAAAGGUGAGGGUUGGGCACAAGAGAAUACACAAGAGUUUUGGAAAGCAGAAGUGAAGCAGGAGCAAUUCUGUUCUGAAGAUUUCCUCCUCCCAGUGCUCCAAGUCCUGGGGCAGAUGAGUAUGUGGCUCCACAGUGAAGACUGCCAGUUCCUUCCAUGGGUCACCCACAACUUUGAGAUUGGUGAAAAAGAGACGAGGACUCCAGCUUGCUUUCGUGGGCCCAGUUCAUCCUUGCUCGAACACCCCUCACCUUCAUGUCCUGCUUUUCUUCCUGACUUUCACACCAGAAGACCUACAGUGACUUCAGCUCCGCUACCAAAAAGCAGCCUCCAUGCCCUUUUCACCAGCUCCCACCACUGCCUUCAGUUUCAUCCCCAAUAAUAAAUCCCAUCUUUCACGUGAGGAAUGGUGGUUCUGCUUCUCUUUUGAACUGUAACCGAUCAGCCAAAAUUA
RNAcentral lists this long non-coding RNA (3611 nucleotides) under Equus caballus (horse). RNAcentral's name for it is "lncRNA (ENSECAG00000052670.1)". Lineage: Eukaryota; Metazoa; Chordata; Mammalia; Perissodactyla; Equidae. The record is from RNAcentral.